CUAACAAGGAUUCCCCUAGUAACGGCGAGUGAAGCGGGAAGAGCUCAAGCUUAAAAUCUCCGUGCAAGUUUUGCGCGGCGAAUUGUAGUCUAUAGAGGCGUGGUCAGCGUGGGCGCUUGGGGCAAGUUCCUUGGAAGAGGACAGCAUGGAGGGUGAUACUCCCGUUCAUCCCUGAGUGGCUCGUGCGUACGACCCGUGUUCUUUGAGUCGCGUUGUUUGGGAAUGCAGCGCAAAGUAGGUGGUAAAUUCCAUCUAAAGCUAAAUAUUGGUGCGAGACCGAUAGCGAACAAGUACCGUGAGGGAAAGAUGAAAAGAACUUUGAAAAGAGAGUUAAAGAGUACCUGAAACUGCUGAAAGGGAACCGAAUCGUUUCCAGUGUCUAUAAUCCGUGGCAUAUUUCAUUGGCGAGUGUGCGCGUGCGUGUGCUGUGGCAGUGGCUUUUUUGGCUGCGCUCGGUGUGUGUGCUGUGUGUGCUUGCUGGUGCCCUGUGCUGCGGUGGGACGUCAAGGUCAGUUCGUAUGCUGCGGGAAAUGGCUGCCGAGGAGGUAGGGCUUACGCUCCGCGUUUGUCUGUUAUAUCUUGGUGGACGAGUCGUCGCGGUUGGGACUGAGGUGCCUACAACGUGCUUUUGAGUGGGUUUGUGUCUCCGUGUGCGCCGUGUGCGGAUAGCUUGCUAUGCGUGUGUGGUUGUGUGUGGAUUGAUGCGGGCUUUAACUUGUCGCCGUUCGGGACGUUGACGAAAUGGAGCGAUCCGACCCGUCUUGAAACACGGACCAAGGAGUCUAACAUGUGUGCAAGUGUUAGGGUGUGGAAACCCCAGCGCGAAAUGAAAGUGAAGGGCAGCGCAAGUUGUCUGAGGUAGGAAACGUUGCGGGCUUCGGUCUGCGGCGUGGCACUAUCGACCGAUCAUGAACCUUCGUGGUGAAAGAUUUGAGUUUGAGCACAUAUGUUGGUACCCGAAAGAUGGUGAACUAUGCCUGAGUAGGGUGAAGCCAGGGGAAACUCUGGUGGAAGCUCGUAGCGAUUCUGACGUGCAAAUCGAUCGUCAAACUUGGGUAUAGGGGCGAAAGACUAAUCGAACCAUCUAGUAGCUGGUUCCCUCCGAAAUUUCCCUCAGGAUAGCAGCAACUUAUUUACGAUAGUUUUAUGAGGUAAAGCGAAUGAUUAGAGGAUUCGGGGAAGAAACUUCCUCGACCUAUUCUCAAACUUUAAAUCUGUAAGACCUGCAGGUUUCUUAAUUGAACUUGCGGAUGUGAAUAUCAA
This 1263-nucleotide ribosomal RNA is filed under the name Phytophthora pistaciae. RNAcentral describes it as "eukaryotic LSU rRNA". It matches the Rfam family "Eukaryotic large subunit ribosomal RNA", at positions 65 to 1118 of the family's 3401-position model. The record is from RNAcentral. Lineage: Eukaryota; Oomycota; Peronosporomycetes; Peronosporales; Peronosporaceae.